RNAcentral lists this long non-coding RNA (338 nucleotides) under Equus caballus (horse). RNAcentral describes it as "lncRNA (ENSECAG00000051977.1)". The stretch from base 1 to 64 matches the Rfam family "tRNA", at positions 9 to 71 of the family's 71-position model. The record is from RNAcentral. Lineage: Eukaryota; Metazoa; Chordata; Mammalia; Perissodactyla; Equidae.
GGUCUAGUGGUUAAGAUUUGGCGCUCUCACCGCCACAGCCCAGGUUCGUUUCCUGGUCAGGGAACCACACCACCCAUCUGUCGGUUGUCAUACUGUGGCGGCUGCGUGUUGCUGUGAUGCUGAAAGCUGUGCCACAGGGAUUUCAAAUACCAGCAGAGUCACCCAUGGUGGACACGUUUCAGCGAAGCUUCCUGACUAAGACAGACUGGGAAGAAGGACCUGGCCACCCACUUCUAAAAAAAUUGGCCAUAUGGAAACUCUGUGAAUAGCAGCAGAACAUUGUCUGAUACAGUGCGGGAAGAUUUUAUUUUUUCCUUUUUCUCCCCAAAGCCCCCCGG